GGCUGCAAUGGAGAAAGAAGCUACAGAGAGGACUGCAGCAGACUGUACCAAAAGGACUGAGCCCAGCAGUGCUGCAGCAGCUUUGCUGCUUGUGGGCCAGGAAGAAGGUACCUGGAAGAAUGGUUGGCUGAUCUCCUCCAGCAGGCUUUAAACUAGGCUCAUCAGGGGAAGGGGGGGACAAGGACAGAGGGAUCCACGGAACACUAAACCAUGAGAUACCCACAGGAUCAGCCCAGAGACAGCAUGGAAAAACAUUAAGAAGGCAGAAGCAAAAUAAAACCUCCAUAUUUUAAAUGGGCAGAUUUAACCAUCACUGUUAUUUACAAAGUAAUGUCUCUUUCAUUUUGUUUAAGGUGUCUUGUUCAGUAUUUUGUUCAUAAGUGUCUCCCAUUUGACUUGUUUCAAGAUUAAGUUAAAUGUCAAAAUAUCUCACCAGACUCAUAAAAUGAUGCCAUAGUAAGCAACAUUUUAACUUUGAAUGGGUAAAACAGUAAAACUAAACUGUAUAUUUUGACAUUAACUGAUAA
Long non-coding RNA from Alligator sinensis (Chinese alligator), 527 nucleotides. RefSeq lists it as uncharacterized. NCBI's taxonomy places the organism in Eukaryota, Metazoa, Chordata, Crocodylia, Alligatoridae. The record is from RefSeq and is a predicted model, not a curated record. The transcript is spliced from 3 exons.